RNAcentral lists this long non-coding RNA (1186 nucleotides) under Numida meleagris (helmeted guineafowl). RNAcentral describes it as "lncRNA (ENSNMEG00000001867.1)". The record is from RNAcentral. Lineage: Eukaryota; Metazoa; Chordata; Aves; Galliformes; Numididae.
CCGUGAGAUACCACGCUGGAUAUGUAAAACUAAAUUUACCCAGACGUAACAAAACAUUUCUAAUAAUAGUCAAAUUUUUAGAUGCAGAAUAUUGAAGGGGACUUCCAAGACAAAGGCAAUCAGGCAAUUGACAUAAAAUCAAGGAGAGCUCACAGACAGUUCACUCUGCCCCUUGUUUCUCUUCUUAGCUUCUAAAUCAGCUUUUGCACAGAUAACUUACAAAACAGCACACUGGCUUGAACAGAAGCUACAGCAUACCUGGCAAUAGGAGAAAAUCUCUUGAAAAUAGAAAUCUUCACAUUCCUACCCACAGCCAAAAUACUUCAGCCAACUCUGGCUGCAAUUUAAUUGUGAAGCAAACUGUAUCCACAACAAAGGAGAACAAUUAUAUGUAAUCUGGCCCUGUGGGCAAACAGAUAUCAAGUGUAAUGAUGUUGUAGGCCAACUAUUUGUUUUGGUUACUUUAGCUGGGCAUUUCAUUCAGAAUGGAGUAAGUAUUGCGGAAGAUGGAUUUUCAGUAACAGCCUUACAGAUAGAAUAAUUUCAGAAAAACCUGGAGGUGUGCACUUCCUUUAGAAAAGGAAUUAUAUCCUCAGAAUUUUCUGUUCAUACAGCUUAUCCAGCUGUUUCCUUGGUUUCAGACUUUCUGAGAACCAUGACAAAACACUUCUUACAGAACCUAAACUUUUAGUAUUCCUCUGGCAUUUAACAUUGUAGUUUCAGCCCAGAAAUGGUGGUCUUACGAACAACGAAGUAAAACAGGAGCAGGAUGAAAUUCCAGACUGAAGUAUCUAAAUUCAGAUGUAUAGAUGCAGAUUAGGUGCCUGGGCCUUCCUUAUUGUCAUUGAAGACUUGGGUCUUGAUUUAUUUACUGACAGAGAGGCAUCUAGUGCCAUUGAGAAGCACUGAGAUAUCGGAGAAGACUGCACAGGAUUGAUAGUUGUGACAUUGGAACCACGGUGCACGCUUGCCCUUGUAGAUUUGCAGGUGAAGGCCAGGUCAAGUAAUCUAGAGAACAUCGAGAGGCAUCAGGGACUGCUUGUGGAAGUUUCAGUGGAGGCAAUAACAGGUUCCUUGGUUAAAGCUGUAAAGAGAGAUAAAGAGCACAGCUGCCUCCUCAAGCUGCUCUGGAGUAGGACCACUCCUGCCCUGCUGCUGGGGCCCAGCAAAGCUCCUGGGGAAGCAA